Small nuclear RNA from Chroicocephalus ridibundus (black-headed gull), 124 nucleotides. RefSeq annotates it as U4 spliceosomal RNA. NCBI's taxonomy places the organism in Eukaryota, Metazoa, Chordata, Aves, Charadriiformes, Laridae. The record is from RefSeq and is a predicted model, not a curated record. The transcript has a single exon.
GUUGCAGCGCAGUGGCAGUAUCAUAGCCAAUGAGGUUAAUCCAAGGCACGAUUAUUGCUAAUUGAAAACUAAUCUUAACUUUUAAAGAUAAUAUCUUCUGCCUUUUAGAUAAGUCUACUAGGAU